Equus quagga is the source of this 373-nucleotide long non-coding RNA. RefSeq lists it as uncharacterized. The record is from RefSeq and is a predicted model, not a curated record. The transcript is spliced from 3 exons. NCBI's taxonomy places the organism in Eukaryota, Metazoa, Chordata, Mammalia, Perissodactyla, Equidae.
GCCUUUUCACAGCAACCUCUGAAAACCUGGGCUUUUAAGAUGUCAUCAAAAGGAAUGUAGUGAUCUAAUGCUGAAAUCAUGAAGCACCUCACGAGAUGGUUUUCCCAUUGACGCUGAAUUUUACCAGAGUUGGAGUACCUUAGAAGAUCCCUUAGGGAGUGUUUUUCUGUAUAACCCCAAUCGCUGAUGCUCCUCCUAUCAGGUUUACAGAAGAAAGCACUGCAUUUUAUUCUUCAACUAGACCGUGGGAUGAUGGAGUAACACUGCCACAGAAUUCUCAGCAGAAACAUAUCUUGCUAGAAUGUGCUCAGGAUUUUUUGAACAGUCCGUGAAAGGUGACAGGGAUGUUAAUCUCCACUUCAGCCCUGGCGAC